This 345-nucleotide unclassified non-coding RNA is filed under the name soil metagenome. RNAcentral describes it as "partial contains 5.8S ribosomal RNA, internal transcribed spacer 2, and large subunit ribosomal RNA". The stretch from base 1 to 120 matches the Rfam family "5.8S ribosomal RNA", at positions 35 to 154 of the family's 154-position model. The record is from RNAcentral.
GAUGAAGAACGUAGCGAAACGCGAUAAGUAAUGUGAAUUGCAGAAUUUAGUGAAUCAUCGAGUCUUUGAACGCACAUUGCGCCCCCUGGUAUUCCGGGGGGCAUGCCUGUCCGAGCGUCAUUGCUGCCCUCAAGCACGGCUUGUGUGUUGGGCCUCCGUCCUCCUCCCGGGGGACGGGCCCGAAAGGCAGCGGCGGCACCGCGUCCGGUCCUCGAGCGUAUGGGGCUUCGUCACCCGCUCUUGUAGGCCCGGCCGGCGCUUGCCGACACAUCAAUCUUUUUUCCAGGUUGACCUCGGAUCAGGUAGGGAUACCCGCUGAACUUAAGCAUAUCAAUAAGCGGAGGA